GACGAACGCGUGGCGGCGCGCCUAACGACAUGCAAGUCGAACGAGGCGAGAGAGAGUUUGCUUUCUCGAGCGAGUGGCGAACGGGUGAGUAACGCGUGAGGAACCUGCCUCAUACAGGGGGAUAACAGUCAGAAAUGGCUGCUAAUACCGCAUAAGCGCACAGCACCGCAUGGUACAGUGUGAAAAACUCCGGUGGUAUGAGAUGGACCCGCGUCUGAUUAGCUGGUUGGUGGGGUAACGGCCCACCAAGGCGACGAUCAGUAGCCGGCCUGAGAGGGUGAACGGCCACAUUGGGACUGAGACACGGCCCAA
This 312-nucleotide ribosomal RNA is filed under the name uncultured bacterium. Its description in RNAcentral is "bacterial SSU rRNA". It matches the Rfam family "Bacterial small subunit ribosomal RNA", at positions 28 to 334 of the family's 1533-position model. The record is from RNAcentral.